UAGCUGCGCUGCCUUAUCUGCAGUCGUACGGGCAACUAAGCUUGCUCUGGUGGCGAGUGGCGAACGGGUGAGUAAUAUAUCGGAACGUACCCUAGAGUGGGGGAUAACGUAGCGAAAGUUACGCUAAUACCGCAUACGAUCUAAGGAUGAAAGUGGGGGAUCGCAAGACCUCAUGCUCGUGGAGCGGCCGAUAUCUGAUUAGCUAGUUGGUAGGGUAAAAGCCUACCAAGGCAUCGAUCAGUAGCUGGUCUGAGAGGACGACCAGCCACACUGGAACUGAGACACGGUCCAGACUCCUACGGGAGGCAGCAGUGGGGAAUUUUGGACAAUGGGCGAAAGCCUGAUCCAGCAAUGCCGCGUGAGUGAAGAAGGCCUUCGGGUUGUAAAGCUCUUUUGUCAGGGAAGAAACGGUGAGAGCUAAUAUCUCUUGCUAAUGACGGUACCUGAAGAAUAAGCACCGGCUAACUACGUGCCAGCAGCCGCGGUAAUACGUAGGGUGCAAGCGUUAAUCGGAAUUACUGGGCGUAAAGCGUGCGCAGGCGGUUUUGUAAGUCUGAUGUGAAAUCCCCGGGCUCAACCUGGGAAUUGCAUUGGAGACUGCAAGGCUAGAAUCUGGCAGAGGGGGGUAGAAUUCCACGUGUAGCAGUGAAAUGCGUAGAUAUGUGGAGGAACACCGAUGGCGAAGGCAGCCCCCUGGGUCAAGAUUGACGCUCAUGCACGAAAGCGUGGGGAGCAAACAGGAUUAGAUACCCUGGUAGUCCACGCCCUAACGAUGUCUAC
RNAcentral lists this ribosomal RNA (780 nucleotides) under uncultured bacterium. RNAcentral's name for it is "bacterial SSU rRNA". It matches the Rfam family "Bacterial small subunit ribosomal RNA", at positions 37 to 816 of the family's 1533-position model. The record is from RNAcentral.